GGGCAAACCGAAGAGUUUACUCUUCGGGGUUGUAGGACUGCAAUGUGGACUCAAAGAUUAUAGAAGAAUGAUUUGGGAAGAUCAGCCAAAGAGAGUAAUAGCCUCGUAUUUAAAAUAGUCUUUGUACCUAGCAGUAUCCUGAGUACGGCGGGACACGUGAAAUCCCGUCGGAAUCUGGGAGGACCAUCUCCCAACCCUAAAUACUCCCUAGUGACCGAUAGUGAACCAGUACCGUGAGGGAAAGGUGAAAAGCACCCCGGGAGGGGAGUGAAAUAGAACCUGAAACCGUGUGCCUACAACAAGUUCGAGCCCGUUAAUGGGUGAGAGCGUGCCUUUUGUAGAAUGAACCGGCGAGUUACGUUAUGAUGCGAGGUUAAGUUGAAGAGACGGAGCCGUAGGGAAACCGAGUCUGAAUAGGGCGCCUUAGUAUCAUGACGUAGACCCGAAACCAUGUGACCUACCCAUGAGCAGGUUGAAGGUGCGGUAAGACGCACUGGAGGACCGAACCAGGGCACGUUGAAAAGUGCUUGGAUGACUUGUGGGUAGCGGAGAAAUUCCAAACGAACUUGGAGAUAGCUGGUUCUCUCCGAAAUAGCUUUAGGGCUAGCGUCGACAUUAGAGAUUCUUGGAGGUAGAGCACUGUUUGGGUGAGGGGUCCAUCCCGGAUUACCAAUCUCAGAUAAACUCCGAAUGCCAAUGAAUUAUGGUCGGCAGUCAGACUGCGAGUGCUAAGAUCCGUAGUCGAAAGGGAAACAGCCCAGACCACCAGCUAAGGUCCCAAAAUAAUUGUUAAGUGGAAAAGGAUGUGGGGUUGCACAGACAACUAGGAUGUUAGCUUAGAAGCAGCUAUUCAUUCAAAGAGUGCGUAAUAGCUCACUAGUCGAGUGACCCUGCGCCGAAAAUGUACCGGGGCUAAAACAAUUUACCGAAGCUGUGGAUACCUUUAUAGGUAUGGUAGGAGAGCGUUCUAUGUGUGAUGAAGGUAUACCGUGAGGAGUGCUGGAACGCAUAGAAGUGAGAAUGCCGGUAUGAGUAGCGAAAGACAGGUGAGAAUCCUGUCCACCGUAAGACUAAGGUUUCCAGGGGAAGGCUCGUCCGCCCUGGGUUAGUCGGGACCUAAGGAGAGACCGAAAGGUGUAUCCGAUGGACAACAGGUUGAUAUUCCUGUACUAGAGUAUGUAGUGAUGGAGGGACGCAGUAGGCUAACUAAAGCAGACGAUUGGAAGAGUCUGUCUAAGCAGUGAGGUGUGAAUUGAGUCAAAUGCUUAAUUCUAUAACAUUGAGCUGUGAUGGGGAGCGAAGUUUAGUAGCGAAGUUAGUGACGUCACACUGCCAAGAAAAGCUUCUAGCGUUUAAACAUACUCUACCCGUACCGCAAACCGACACAGGUAGUCGAGGCGAGUAGCCUCAGGUGAGCGAGAGAACUCUCGUUAAGGAACUCGGCAAAAUGACCCCGUAACUUCGGGAGAAGGGGUGCUGACUUNNNNNNNNNNNNNNNNNNNNNNNNNNNAAGUCAGCCGCAGUGAAUAGGCCCAAGCAACUGUUUAUCAAAAACACAGCUCUCUGCUAAAUCGUAAGAUGAUGUAUAGGGGGUGACGCCUGCCCGGUGCUGGAAGGUUAAGAGGAGUGCUUAGCGUAAGCGAAGGUAUGAAUUGAAGCCCCAGUAAACGGCGGCCGUAACUAUAACGGUCCUAAGGUAGCGAAAUUCCUUGUCGGGUAAGUUCCGACCCGCACGAAAGGCGUAAUGAUUUGGGCACUGUCUCAACGAGAGACUCGGUGAAAUUUUAGUACCUGUGAAGAUGCAGGUUACCCGCGACAGGACGGAAAGACCCCAUGGAGCUUUACUGCAGUUUGAUAUUGAGUGUCUGUACCACAUGUACAGGAUAGGUAGGAGUCUAAGAGAUCGGGACGCCAGUUUCGAAGGAGACGCUGUUGGGAUACUACCCUUGUGUUAUGGCCACUCUAACCCAGAUAGGUGAUCCCUAUCGGAGACAGUGUCUGACGGGCAGUUUGACUGGGGCGGUCGCCUCCUAAAAGGUAACGGAGGCGCCCAAAGGUUCCCUCAGAAUGGUUGGAAAUCAUUCGCAGAGUGUAAAGGUAUAAGGGAGCUUGACUGCGAGAGCUACAACUCGAGCAGGGACGAAAGUCGGGCUUAGUGAUCCGGUGGUUCCGUAUGGAAGGGCCAUCGCUCAACGGAUAAAAGCUACCCUGGGGAUAACAGGCUUAUCUCCCCCAAGAGUUCACAUCGACGGGGAGGUUUGGCACCUCGAUGUCGGCUCGUCGCAUCCUGGGGCUGUAGUCGGUCCCAAGGGUUGGGCUGUUCGCCCAUUAAAGCGGCACGCGAGCUGGGUUCAGAACGUCGUGAGACAGUUCGGUCCCUAUCCGUCGCGGGCGUAGGAAAUUUGAGAGGAUCUGCUCCUAGUACGAGAGGACCAGAGUGGACUUACCGCUGGUGUACCAGUUGUCUUGCCAAAGGCAUCGCUGGGUAGCUAUGUAGGGAAGGGAUAAACGCUGAAAGCAUCUAAGUGUGAAACCCACCUCAAGAUGAGAUUUCCCAUGAUUAUAUAUCAGUAAGAGCCCUGAGAGAUGAUCAGGUAGAUAGGUUAGAAGUGGAAGUGUGGCGACACAUGUAGCGGACUAAUACUAAUAGCUCGAGGACUUAUCCAA
This 2667-nucleotide ribosomal RNA is filed under the name Streptococcus pneumoniae. Its description in RNAcentral is "23S ribosomal RNA". It matches the Rfam family "Bacterial large subunit ribosomal RNA". The record is from RNAcentral. Lineage: Bacteria; Bacillati; Bacillota; Bacilli; Lactobacillales; Streptococcaceae.